AGGAUGAACGCUGGCGGUCUGCUUAACACAUGCAAGUCGAACGGAGUAGCAAUACUUAGUGGCGGACGGGUGAGUAACGCGUGAGAAUCUACCUUCAGGACGGAGACAACAGUUGGAAACGACUGCUAACCCCCGAUGUACCGAAAGGGCAAAUAUUUAUGGCCUGAAGAAGAGCUCGCGUCCGAUUAGCUAGUUGGAGAGGUAAAAGCUCACCAAGGCGACGAUCGGUAGCUGGUCUGAGAGGACGAUCAGCCACACUGGGACUGAGACACGGCCCAGACUCCUACGGGAGGCAGCAGUAAGGAAUCUUCCACAAUGGGGGCAACCCUGAUGGAGCGACGCCGCGUGGACGAAGAAGCUUCUCGGAGUGUAAAGUCCUUUUCCCCGCGAUGAGAGGGACAGUAGCGGGGGAAUAAGGCCACGGCUAACUACGUGCCAGCAGCCGC
This 446-nucleotide ribosomal RNA is filed under the name uncultured bacterium. RNAcentral's name for it is "SSU rRNA". It matches the Rfam family "Bacterial small subunit ribosomal RNA", at positions 26 to 518 of the family's 1533-position model. The record is from RNAcentral.